Molecule: ribosomal RNA, 411 nt
Filed under: Triticum aestivum (bread wheat)
Lineage: Eukaryota; Viridiplantae; Streptophyta; Magnoliopsida; Poales; Poaceae
Description: partial small subunit ribosomal RNA
Source: RNAcentral
AUGCUAACCCUCAAAUGGAGGAGGGGGAGGAGUAUAUAUAGUCUAAGCCACGAAGGGGUAAGUGAGGGGCGAAGGGGUACAUGGGCUUCGGCCCAAGUCACGCACGCAGGCGGGGUCCGGAUGAUCAGGAUGGUGGACCGGAUGAUCCGGGUGUCAGGGGUCCGUAUGAUCCGGGCGGCCGUCCGGAUGAUCCGGCUUCAAGUGAAACCUUCGGGUGUCUUCGGCGCAGUUAGCCAGAUCGUCCGGGUGGGGGUCCGGAUCGUCCGGCUGGGGGUCCGGAUGAUCCGGGCAAGUCCUGUCUUGUCCGUUCUUCUUCUUCCUUCUCCUCUUCCAUGCUUGGCCUUGGUCCUUGGAUCCUCCAUGGUCAUCUCGGUUGUACCUGAGUAUAUGCAAGGCCCAUGCAUGAGGUAG